GACGAACGCUGGCGGCGUGCCUAAUACAUGCAAGUAGAACGCUGAAGGAGGAGCUUGCUUCUCUGGAUGAGUUGCGAACGGGUGAGUAACGCGUAGGUAACCUGCCUGGUAGCGGGGGAUAACUAUUGGAAACGAUAGCUAAUACCGCAUAAUAGUAUAUGUUGCAUGAGAUUUGCUUAAAAGGUGCAAUCGCAUCACUACCAGAUGGACCUGCGUUGUUUUAGCUAGUUGGUGGUGUAACGGCGCACCAAGGCGACGAUACAUAGCCGGCCUGAUAGGGUGAUCCGCCACACUGGGAAUGAGAAAAGGCCCAGAAUCCUACGGGGGGCAGCAGUAGGGGAUCUUCGGCAAUGGAGGGAAGUCUGACCGAGCAACGCCGCGUGAGUGAAGAAGGUUUUCGGAUCGGAAAGAUCCGUUGUAAGAGAAGAAAGAGUGUGGGAGUGGAAAGUUCACACUGUGACGGUAUCUUACCAGAAAGGGACGGCUAACUACGUG
This 495-nucleotide ribosomal RNA is filed under the name uncultured bacterium. RNAcentral's name for it is "partial 16S ribosomal RNA". It matches the Rfam family "Bacterial small subunit ribosomal RNA", at positions 28 to 507 of the family's 1533-position model. The record is from RNAcentral.